RNA transcript from Pogoniulus pusillus (Red-fronted tinkerbird), 3144 nucleotides. It is a transcript of the gene named GC-rich sequence DNA-binding factor 2, with no coding region annotated. The transcript has 19 exons. Lineage: Eukaryota; Metazoa; Chordata; Aves; Piciformes; Lybiidae. The record is from RefSeq and is a predicted model, not a curated record.
CAGGGGAGGCGGCUCCGGGUCGCGGCGCUUGCGUGCAUAGCGGUGGGGCUGUGGGGCGGGCGCGCAUGCGCGGCGGGCAGGGUGUGCGUUCCGCGGGGCGCGGUCUGCGCGUAGGGCUGCGGCGCCAUGUUCCGCCGUCCUCCUCGUAAUUUCCGCGGCCGGCGGCGUGCGGCCUCCAGCGGCAGCAGUAGCGAUGAAGAGCCGGACCAGGCUGCCGCCCCACCGUCAGCUCUCGGUCCCAGUUCCGACUCCGAGCAGGAAGCGGAGGCCGUGGGGGAGGAGGGGCGCCUCAGCAGUGCCACCGGGAGCCCCGAGGGGACUAGGGCUACCGCAGCGGAGGGGCCGCCGUGCCCAGAGGACCCGGCGGGCAGCCCUGAUGGAGGGGCAGCUUCGGAGCCCGGGCCACGUCUGGCCGGAACUGGAUCGGCGCUGGGUGGGAAGGUGCUGCUGAGCUUUGGUAGUGAGGACGAACGGGAAGGUGAUGAAGAACUUUUUAAAAUCAAGAAACCAUCCUUCAAUGAAGUGACCUUUAGACUUCAGAAGAAGGAAAGCCAACCACAUUCACAGAUAGAAACAGAAGAAAGCAAAAAAAUCUGCCAGUCAGAGCCUAGAACAGGCAACACAAAAGGCACUUGUAAAGAAGAAGAGGAGGAGGAUGAAAGUUAUUCUUCACUUAGUCAGGACUACAACAGCUCAGACUCAGAAAAUGAAUCCAGCUACCUACAGAGGAGGAAGGAUUUAUCACCAGGUAAUAUCCCCAGCACAGCUUGCAUUGAGGCUGCUCGGAGGAAGCGUCAUUUAGCCAGGACGCAGGCUGAUUAUCUUCCACUGGAUGCUUCAAACAGUCCUCAGGUCUCUGGGAGAAGAGAAAGCAGCGACUUAGAAAGUGAAGAUGAGUCUGAUGUGAAGAAUGUCAGUUUUGUUCCUAAAAUGAGAACUCUUAGGGAGAGGAUGGCUGAGCACAUGGUGACUGUGAGUGGUGAAUCAAGUGAAGACGAAGCACAAACUAAGUGGGAAGAACAGCAAAUAAAGAAAGCAGUGAAACUCUCUCAGGAAACCUAUGAUGAUGCUUACCUGCAGCAUCCACAUAAAUCUCAACCAGCUAACCCAAAGUUUGAUCUAAGUGUUUCUCUGCCACCUGUGGACUUGGAAAUUGUGAAGAAGCGACUGACAGAGAGGAUAACAUCACUACAGAAUGUGCACCGUGCCCACCAGAGGGAGUAUGAAAAAUAUGUGGAGGACAUAGAGAGUUCAAAAACAACCGUCCAGGAGCUAGAGAAGUCUUCAGAUGCACUUCUGAAUUUCAGAUUCUACAAGGGCAUGAAAAUAUAUGUGGAAAACCUUAUAAACUGUUUGAAUGAAAAACUGAAAUACAUUAAUGAACUGGAAUUGGCCGUACAUGCACUUCUUCAGCAACGAGCCAUAACAGUACUGAAACGAAGACAAGAUGAGCUAAACAAUGAGUCUACUUAUAUUCAGCAUCUGACAAGUGGAAGUGACAAACCAACUAAUGGUGGAUUAGAAGGUGCUGAGAAGACAAAGCUUCUGGAAAUGUGUGAACAUCGAAGGACUGGCAGGUGGCAAAUGAGAGAGCAUUUAGGAGAAGCUAAUCACCAUGAAGGCAUGUCGAGUGAUGAUGAACUGAGUCCAACAGAGGUGAAUGAGUUCCAGAAGAGCAAAGAUAACCUUUUAGAGGAUAGUAGAAAAAUCUUUGAAGAUGUACAUGCAGAUUUUUGUGACAUCAGAAAAAUCCUGUUGAAAUUCCAGGAAUGGAAAGAGAAGUUUCCUGACUCUUACUGUGAUGCUUAUAUCAGUUUCUGCCUGCCUAAGCUAUUAAAUCCAUUGAUUAGAUUUCAGUUAAUAAAUUGGAAUCCUCUUCAGCAGAAUCUUACAGAUUUGGAAGGGAUGUCUUGGUUUAGAGCUAUAGAAGAAUUCAGUGGUGCCAAGACUGUGCCUGAAGGGGAUGCUGCCAAGAACGUGUCUAAAGGGAAUGAUGAUCAAGAAGUUUUGCCUAGAGUGAUUGAAAAAACUAUUCUUCCAAAAAUUACAGCCUUUGUGGAAAACAUGUGGGAUCCUUUAUCUACUUCUCAGACAAAGAAUCUUGUACAGCUUUGCAGUAAUCUCUUUGAAAAACAAGCAGUUUCCAAAAGUGAGCUUGGUCAAGCAAAAAAGGAUUUGAUAAACAUGGUUGUCCUAAGAAUGAAGAAAUCUGUAGAGGAAGAUGUCUUUAUUCCUUUGUAUCCUAAAAGCACUGUGGAAGACAAAUCAUCCCUACGUUCCAGAUUCCAAGAAAGAUGUUUUUGGUCAGCUGUUAAGCUGCUCUCCAAUGUUCUUCUUUGGGAUGGCAUUGUACAAGAAGAUGCACUCCGUGGUUUGGGACUGAACAAACUGCUGAAUCGUUACCUUCUUCUGAACCUCUUAAACACACCACCAGGGCUGGAUCAUAUAGAAAAGUGUAGUAAGGUAAAAGUGGUUGCAUGCUUCCCAGAAAGAUGGUUCCAAGAUCUUAAAAGUGGAUCAACUCUCCCUGAGUUACUCAACUUCUGUCAGCACUUGCUGCAGCGUGCCCGCACACUACACAAGAGUAAUCACAGUGAUGAAACAAAAGAAAUUCUUCUCCUGCUGGUGAAAGUCAAAGCUCUGCAUAUUGUUGAAGACUUCAUUGAAGAGUCUGAUCUCAAAGACCUUAAAUCAAUAAUUGGGAAAUAGACAUUUUUGCAGCAAUGCUUAUAUUACUGAAGUAAGCCUCUCCUCACACUAAAGCAGUUCUAAUAGGAAAUGAAAUUAGUGGUUCCUGCCCACUCAAAGGUGUGGUAAUCACUGUCUUAGUGUUGAGGGUUUUUUCCUAAUGUCUUCUAGUGCCAUCUACUCCCACAUUAAAGGAGUACUUGUACAAGUUACAUUUGUCAAAGUAAAACAGUGGUUCAGGCAUUCUGAAAUGUAUAACAAUGUUUUAUUGGUUUAUCCUUGGAAGGAUUCCUGGAAAGAUAGGAAGUGCUCUGUAAAGUUUAUCACUGCUAGCCAGUAGAUAGCUUUACAAGCUUCUUUCAGUGUUAAUUGCUAAGUAUCACAGUAUCACACAGUAUCACAGUAUCAUCAGGGUUGGAAGAGACCUCACAGAUCAUCAAGUCCAACCCUUUACCA